RNAcentral lists this ribosomal RNA (753 nucleotides) under Triticum aestivum (bread wheat). Its description in RNAcentral is "partial small subunit ribosomal RNA". Lineage: Eukaryota; Viridiplantae; Streptophyta; Magnoliopsida; Poales; Poaceae. The record is from RNAcentral.
AUGCAGAGGCGGAGGCCGGGAUUCCAUCAUGUGGAAGAGACAGAGAACAAUGUAGUGCGCAGCCUGUUUUGGACAGACUCCUUGUGUAAGAUGAAUUAUGAUCUAUAUGGAGAUUUCGUGUCUUUUGACACGACAUUCUCUACGAAUAUAUAUGGCUUGCCAUUUGCACCAAUUAUAGGUGUCGACAACCACGGGUCGACUGUCCUGUUUGGAGUAGGCCUUUUGAAGGAUGAGAAAAUAGGGUCAUUCAAGUGGCUCCUAAGCACGUUUGUCGAGGCAAUGAGAGGUAAAGAGCCGAAAUACAUAAUAACAGACCAGGACCAGGCGAUGAAGACUGCAAUAAAGGAAGCUCUUCCGAGAACGAGGCACAGGUUCUGCUGGUGGCAUAUUAGGAAGAAUCUGAAGGAAAAUAACGCAGCAGUGUUUGCGCAGCACCCAGGGAUGUCUGAUGAUAUAUUUCGAAUCGUCAAAAGCUCACUAGAUCAAGACGAGUUUGAGCGUGCCUGGAAAGCAGAAAUUUCUCUGCACAAGGCGGAAGGCAACAAACACCUGAACACGCUAUGGGAACUCCGAAAUUUUUGGGUGCCGGCCUACUUCAAGCACUGUUUCUAUCCUUUCUCGUCAACAACCAUUCGGAGUGAGAGCAUGAAUUCAAUGUGGAAGAAUUACGUCGACCACAAGGACACUAUAAAAAGGUUUGUUAAUGCGUAUCACAUGAUUCAGCAAAAUUGCCUCGCCACGCUUGACAAGUAA